AAUGAAAAUAUUCUCGGAAAAAUAAUAAUAAUAAUAAUAAUAUGGGUAAAGCCGAUAAAAUUAUUUGGUUGUCGGUCGAAAAAGUUUGGUGAAGACAAUGUCCCUGGCUUCCCAUUAUUUUUUCAUUUCUAAAGCCGGAAGAUUUCCUCCAAUUAUUGGGCCACCACCUGUUUUUCUUAAUAUUUUGCCAUUCUUCUCCGAGUCCGAGAUAACCACUACGGUUAUAAUAUAUAUAUAUUUAACUAUUUCUUUACCGACCUAAAUUUAUCACCACCAGUCUGGCCAGUUGGAUAAAAGAAAUGUCAAAUUUUCACCCGAGUCCCGUUUAAAUUAACUGUACGAAACGGCGCUGUCCAUUGAAUUUUCCCUUUUCACUCGGAGAAUAAACGUCGCGUCGGUUGCUUCGAAAUCUAUUGGAAUUUAUCGGCCAAUUUUUAUACUUAAAAUACGAAAAAUUUGGCGAAUCUUUAUAAUGGUGAUGCGGUGUUCCAUAUAUACUUCUUUGCUCUUUGGCCAUUUUCAAAUUUUAUUAGCUACCGAAGAGGCGCGUGAUAAAAAUGCCCGAUAAUUAUAUAAAAUGCCUACGGUUUACUUACUUUUCUGCCGCCUUGGGUGCACCGCCGAAUUUAAAAUGUCACUCGAAACAUCGCGUCAGCCCCGACCGUCUUUCACCCAAACUGUUUCGUCCGAUUUUCUGGUAGUCGUUUUCGGAUGUUGGCUGAUAAAAUCCUUCGUCGUUUCCGAUUGUUUGGUCGAAGCUCGUCUCCCCGCCAUCUUCGAUAACGAAACGUAAUUUAAAUUCGUACGUGGAUUGUCUAAAAUCACCGGAAGUCCGGCUAUCUCCCGUCCGAACAAGUGGCCUACUGGCGUGGGUCCAAAUCCGAAUUCGGAAUUAGCGAUGAAGUAAUAGCAUUCGGAAUCUCCCGGGCUCGGAAUGGCAGUCCCAGUCAUUUUCGACUGUCCACCUGGGUGAUGGCGGGGUAGAUCCAACGCGUUUUCUUGUCCAGCUUGGGAAUUCAACCCCCGGGAAAACGAGUCUUCCUUACGGGAUAUCUUUUCUUUUUCUUUAACGCCACUUUCCAUUCGGGAAGAAUACCAAGUGGCGGGGCGAAACAAGCUCUUCCACAGGCUGCCCACCUCGCGGA
This 1145-nucleotide long non-coding RNA is filed under the name Androctonus crassicauda. Lineage: Eukaryota; Metazoa; Arthropoda; Arachnida; Scorpiones; Buthidae. The record is from RNAcentral.